Long non-coding RNA from Trifolium pratense (red clover), 658 nucleotides. RefSeq lists it as uncharacterized. The transcript is spliced from 4 exons. The record is from RefSeq and is a predicted model, not a curated record. Lineage: Eukaryota; Viridiplantae; Streptophyta; Magnoliopsida; Fabales; Fabaceae.
UUUUGUUCACAUCACUCAAUUUUCUUUUUUUUUUUUGCAUUCCUGAGAGAGGACGACGGUGAUGAGAGGAGCCACGACGGUGAUGAGAGGAAGAGGAACAGUCUGGAUGAGGCGCUGAUAGGAAAAGGGAGAAAGAAGAGAACGCCUUAAUCGCAGCCCUUAGAUUCAUUGUUGCUAGGGUUUUCUAUUUUAUGCUCGAUCGUUUGCUACGAUGCUGAGGAAAUUAAGCAAAGCGAGGAUUGGCCAUGGAACAAUAUGAACACUGUGCUGGGAAAUUGGAUCUUUAUUUCGUUCCAUGAUUGAAGAACAUGUACUGUGAACCUUAUGGUAUGCUUUGCUUUAUAUUCCUAUAUUCAUUCAUGGGUCUUCUUCAACAUUAAGAAUAUGUAGAGCUUUUCUAAUCAGUUGAGGAUGUCUGCAAAAUUCUUGACGACAAAGUAAAGAUCCUAAAUUAAUCAAGAGAGUUGAUAGUUCAUUUUGUUAUUCAAAAUCAGAGUUUGAUAGAGGGAUAUCAAGGUGACAAAGCUUUUCUUGGUCUUGUGUUGGUGUUGGUACAGCUAUCCGCUUUCAUUGAACAGUCUGCCAUUCCACAUAUCAACGAGCCACAAGGGACACAAUAUAUUGACAUUAAGGAUGGAAUUAAGCUAUGUUUAGGAUG